GGGGCUGACUGGCUUUGACAGGAAAGUAGUCGGUAGGUAAGCAUGUCGAGCUUUUGUUGUGUUGGCUCGUAAAUCUCAGUACAGCAGCCAUAACUGGCAACAAUUCUUACAGAUUGGCAGCCUAAUCGGGACGAUUAGAUGCCUUUAAUCUCCCGCGAUGCACCUCUGCCCAAUAGGGAGCUGCGGUCGAGGUUUCAUAAAAGAAAUUGGGAUAGCGUACAUUAGUACCUCGAAAUAAACGCGAAUUUUAAUUGGGGGUAAGGAAGCAGUUGGUUCGUGUUGUUCCGGCUGUUUUACCAAAAUUAAUACAACAAUAAACAUGUAGAAAGCUUAUUGAACCUUGCUCUGGACGAGGGUUCGAAUCCCUCCAGCUCCACUU
RNAcentral lists this transfer-messenger RNA (379 nucleotides) under Chitinophagales. Its description in RNAcentral is "UBA2359 sp016700115 Standard tmRNA". It matches the Rfam family "transfer-messenger RNA". Rfam says of the family: Bacterial tmRNA, also known as 10Sa RNA or SsrA, is named for its dual tRNA and mRNA-like properties. Its role is to liberate the mRNA from a stalled ribosome. To accomplish this part of the tmRNA is used as a reading frame that ends in a translation stop signal. RNAcentral also lists the same sequence under 1 other name. The record is from RNAcentral. Lineage: Bacteria; Pseudomonadati; Bacteroidota; Chitinophagia.